Molecule: long non-coding RNA, 320 nt
Organism: Coregonus clupeaformis (lake whitefish)
Lineage: Eukaryota; Metazoa; Chordata; Actinopteri; Salmoniformes; Salmonidae
Exons: 4
Source: RefSeq, a predicted model, not a curated record
GCGCUAACGGCUUCAACAGGAGAGAGAAUCAGUCACCACAGGGUUAUGUUCAGUAGGCACCAAAAGGAAGAAAAUGGGAUUCCAGUUCAUCCUCUUCCUCCUCCUCCUCCUCUGACAGCAGCUCUUCAGACAGUGAAGAUAAGAAGAAGAAGAAGAAGAAGAAGAAGAAGAAGAAGAAGAAGAAGAAGAAGAAGAAGAAGAAGGAGGAAAAGAAAGAAGGUGCUGGGGAUAUCAUAGUACAUGAUGUAGCCUUCAUAUCUGAGCCUGGGCUUGAAGGCUGCACUGAUCUAAACCAUGAGGAAACAGAGAAGAAAGAGGAU